UCCCUUCAUCUCAGAGCCUAUCGAUAUGAGGGAACCAUCUCAUUUCAUGUCAAAGAACGACAUCCUAUCCAGUCACCCGGCGAAGAAAACGACAAAGAGUCGCCUGAGAAGAGGAUGAGCUUCUUCGAGAUAUAUCUUCUUCAUCAACAAGUCUUGGCCCAAGAACAUAUGCGCUUUGGAACAAGGCCUCUCAGGUUUUCUUUUUUGAAAACCCAUUUUUUCAAUUUUUAUUUAUUUUAAAGCUAAGUUCCAAAUAUUUUCACAAAUAUAUAUAUUACCAUACACAAUAUUUUUAAAUUUAAAUUUAAAAUUUUAUUAUUUUCACAAAUAAAAAUAAAAACCACACAAAAUGUUUUAAGUUUACAAAUUUUAAAUUUUACUAAAAUUAUUAUUAUUAUAUUAAAUAAUAUAUUUUCAUGUUGGAAAAAUACAUGGUGCAAAAACUUCCGUUUGUUGAAAACAAACCAAGCUAUUUGCAUCCGAUCCGUAUGGUCUCCAUAUGGUUCGUAAGUGGUGUGGAUGUUUAACAUGUUUUUUCGUAUUGUGAAUGAGUUUUAAUAUGUCGAAAACAAACCAAGCUGAAGCAUCCGGUCCUUAUUGGUCUUCCUUAUGGUCCGUCAGUGAUGUAGAUGUUUAACAAAAUAUCAGCAUCCAGUCCUUUAUAUAAGGUCUUCCGUAUGGUCAGUUGGCGGUGUAGAUGUUUAACAUGUUUUCUUCGUAUUGUGAAUGAAUUUCAAUAUGUUAAAAAAUAGACCAAGUGUUUGCACCUCGUCUUUUCUAAAAUGAAAAUAUAUUGUUUAGUUAAUGAUAAUAAUUUUAAUAAAAUCUAAAAUUUGUGUAAUCUUAAAACAUUUUGUAUUGUUUAUAUUUUUAUUUGGGAAAUUAAUUAAAAUUUAAUUUUAAAUAUAAAAAUAUUUUGUAUGGUAAUUGCUUAUUUGCGAAAAUAUAUAGAAUUUAGCUUUAAAAUCCAAAAAAAAUACAUUGAAUUAAACUAUCAAAGAGAUAACCUUUUCUUGUGUGUGUGGUGUGUUUUGUUGAUUUGAUUUCACUCACAACCGGCUGGGAGAUUGUGAAAAAUGAAGUAUGAGGAGUACAUGCAAGAACAGAAGGAGAAGAAGAAUCUACCUGGUGUUGGCUUCAGGAAACUCAAGAAGAUUCUGAAGAAGUGCAGAAGAAGAGAUCAUGUUCCUUCUCAGAUUGCUUUAAACGAAGCAAUCACUCAUCAACGUGGCAACAACUGUCCUCGUGAAUGCAAAGGUUGCUGUUCCCCUGUUAGGUCCCUUUCUUCUUCUUCUUCUGGUUUUGAGAAUGUUUUAAUCUUUUUUGGCAUGCAGUUUGUGAUGGAAUCUUUAUUGGCAUGCAGUUAACGAGAAUGCUCAGAAGCUUCUUGAGUUACAUUUAGCUUCUAGUUUCAAAAAAUGUCUUACUUGGUUCAAAGGCAAAACGAGCCAUCAUCUUGGUUUAAUCCAAGAAGGCCUAGACUUGGUCAACUACGCACUUCAAAAGGCUGUGGGUUCGAGCUGAUCUUGCUCGAAAUGGUAUCUUCGACUAUGAAAAACUUAAGAAAACUUGGAACAUGAGGAUGGUGGAUCAGUCUGAAAAGUGCAAAGAAAGUGUGAUGGAGAGUAAGAAAGAAGAAGAAGCGAUUGGAUUGAAACUGAAGAAAGCGGUUUUGUUUCCGCAAGAAACAGAGAAAGGAUUGUGGCCGGCUCUUGUAUAAUUUAAAAGGAGCAACGAGAUAUUUUCACCAUAAAGCUUACAAGCCUCUGUAAAGUUUGUAUAGUUCUUGAGAUAAAUCAUUCUAAACUUUGGUAAUAGCAUCACUCUGUUUUGUGAAACUAAAAUAAUAAUAUGCUUUUUGAUUAAA
This is a long non-coding RNA of Brassica napus (rape), 1867 nucleotides long. RefSeq lists it as uncharacterized. The transcript is spliced from 2 exons. The record is from RefSeq and is a predicted model, not a curated record. NCBI's taxonomy places the organism in Eukaryota, Viridiplantae, Streptophyta, Magnoliopsida, Brassicales, Brassicaceae.